GCACUUACCUGUAAGGGGGCAUCCUGUGACCAUGAAGGCAGUUUUCCCAGUAAGAGGUUUAUCCGUUGCACUUUGGAUGCUCUGACCCCUCCAAUUCACCCCCAAAUGUGGGAAACAACUACAUAACUUGUUGUAGUGGGGGACUUCGUUCAUACUUUCCCCCA
Molecule: small nuclear RNA, 164 nt
Organism: Mesocricetus auratus (golden hamster)
Lineage: Eukaryota; Metazoa; Chordata; Mammalia; Rodentia; Cricetidae
Product: U1 spliceosomal RNA
Exons: 1
Source: RefSeq, a predicted model, not a curated record